Molecule: long non-coding RNA, 821 nt
Filed under: Papio anubis (olive baboon)
Lineage: Eukaryota; Metazoa; Chordata; Mammalia; Primates; Cercopithecidae
Description: lncRNA (ENSPANG00000040801.1)
Source: RNAcentral
AGGUUGCUGCUGGGGGAUGGGGGAGGGUUGGUGUCAGCAGUUCAAGACUGUCUUUCCUACCCUCUUCAGUGCCUUUUUCUGUAAUAUGAAGUUAGAACCAAGUACUGUUAUUACUUAACUGAUUUUUGGUUCUUAUGAAGGUGCUUUUUUGUGUGGAUAGUUGUUCAAUUUGGUGUUCCUGCAGGGAGGAUAAUCCUUGAAGGUUUCUAUUUAGCCAUCUUGCUCUGCCUCUUGCUCCUAUAACAUUUUUAGUAAAGAAAAUGAAUAUUUUAAUUAGAAGCAACUGAUUCUACUGCUAAAUUAACAUUGCUUGGGUCCACAUUUUGCACACUAAAACAUUCACAGAAAGAGUUCUUAUAUUUGUAACUGUACUUAAUAGGAUCUCUUUUUGACCAAAAAUGAACCACAAGGCACUUAUAAACCCUGUGAGCUUGGACAGGAAAUGGGAAUUUGAAUCAAUAACUCUGCUGGAGUCACACCAGCUAUUGGCAAGAGACAGAGUGUCACUCUACUGCCUAGGCUGGAGUGCAGUGGAAGCGAUCACAGCUAACUGCAGCCUUGAGUUCCUGGGCUCAAGAAAUUCUCCCAUCUUGGCAUCUCAGGCUUGGGAUUACAGGUUAGAGCUGAUAUAUGUGGGUUUAAUGAAGAGACAACUUAUGAACUUUGCCUGCAGUGGAUGCAAUUUGGGGCCUUCUAUCCCUUUUCCAGAAACAAUAAGGCCAUUGGAAAUAAGGUUUCCAUCAGAUCCUAAAACCCAUGAAAUCAACAGAGCAUUUCUUUGGGAACCAGCUUUGAUGACUGUCCAUGUCUUACAGAGAUAA